CCUUAAAUGACAUUUCAACGAAAAUUUAGAUCAACUAUAUAUUAUUUAAUCAUAGCUGUCUAUUAAAACAUUGUCAUUAAAUAUGACGAAAAAGUUUUGGUAUUUCGUCUCAAACUAUAUAUACUAGACUUAAACCAGAGUGUGAGGCAAGAUUAAUUGUGUUGUCGAGUAUUUUUCGAGUCUCGAAAACUAAUAAAUAAAUAAGACCCUCCAGUCACCGCACGUGAUGAGUUUUGGAUCGCAUCCAAGCUGACAAAUACCCACCUACUAUAUCUUUCUUCGUUCUUAAUAAUAUAUCAGAAACUAUUCAGCUAUAUACAUACAUAUACAUUCAUGGUGGCACGAGAUUAUAUUAUAUUGAUUUUCUAUAUUAAUAUAUUUCCUAAUUUAAUAAUAUUAAUGUCAUUAAAUAAUGAGGAAGGUUUUUAUAGUAAAAUAAUAUUUAAUAACCGUUUGUAAUUUGUUUUUAACGGAAUUGACAUGAAACAAUGUACAACAUGAUUUCAUAAAACUUAUAUUUUUUUAAUUUUUAUUACUAUGAUUAAAAAUAAAGAAAUAAUAAAAAAAAAAAAAAAAAAAGAGCUGUUACUGGGAAUGGGUGCUGCCACUGUUGUAAGUGGGUAGUAGGAAAGAUGGGAUACAUAUAUAGUUGUUAAUUUAUGCCUGUAACCAACGAUAAAUCGUUGAUAACGAAAAACGAUUCUGAGCGGAGCUCGAUUGAUAGUAUUACCUUUUCAACAAUAUACAUGUAAUAUUAUAGUUAAAUAAAUAUAUAUAUUGAAACAAUUCGUAUGGUCCAGUAACUAGAUUUGUUCCACAUAAACGAUUUUCGUC
Molecule: non-coding RNA, 834 nt
Organism: Cinara cedri
Lineage: Eukaryota; Metazoa; Arthropoda; Insecta; Hemiptera; Aphididae
Source: the annotation of a GenBank genome assembly